GUGGGGAAUAUUGGACAAUGGGCGAAAGCCUGAUCCAGCCAUGCCGCGUGUGUGAAGAAGGUCUUCGGAUUGUAAAGCACUUUAAGUUGGGAGGAAGGGCAGUAAGUUAAUACCUUGCUGUUUUGACGUUACCGACAGAAUAAGCACCGGCUAACUUCGUGCCAGCAGCCGCGGUAAUACGAAGGGUGCAAGCGUUAAUCGGAAUUACUGGGCGUAAAGCGCGCGUAGGUGGUUUUGUAAGUUGGAGGUGAAAUCCCCGGGCUCAACCUGGGAACUGCCUCCAAAACUGCAUGACUAGAGUACGGUAGAGGGUAGUGGAAUUUCCUGUGUAGCGGUGAAAUGCGUAGAUAUAAGAAGGAACACCAGUGGCGAAGGCGACUACCUGGACUGAUACUGACACUGAGGUGCGAAAGCGUGGGGAGCAAACAGGAUUAGAAACCCCGGUAGUCC
RNAcentral lists this ribosomal RNA (450 nucleotides) under uncultured bacterium. RNAcentral describes it as "partial 16S ribosomal RNA". It matches the Rfam family "Bacterial small subunit ribosomal RNA", at positions 354 to 796 of the family's 1533-position model. The record is from RNAcentral.